UGGGGAAUAUUGCACAAUGGAGGGAACUCUGAUGCAGCGACGCCGCGUGAACGAAGAAGGCUUUCGAGUCGUAAAGUUCUUUUAUAUGGGAAGAUAAUGACGGUACCAUAAGAAAAAGCCCCGGCUAACUACGUGCCAGCAGCCGCGGUAAUACGUAGGGGGCUAGCGUUGUCCGGAAUCACUGGGCGUUAAGGGUUCGCAGGCGGAAAUGCAAGUCAGGUGUAAAAGGCAGUAGCUUAACUACUGUAAGCAUUUGAAACUGCAUAUCUUGAGAAGAGUAGAGGUAAGUGGAAUUUUUAGUGUAGCGGUGAAAUGCGUAGAUAUUAAAAAGAAUACCGGUGGCGAAGGCGACUUACUGGGCUCAUUCUGACGCUGAGGAACGAAAGCGUGGGUAGCAAACAGG
RNAcentral lists this ribosomal RNA (403 nucleotides) under bacterium. Its description in RNAcentral is "partial 16S ribosomal RNA". It matches the Rfam family "Bacterial small subunit ribosomal RNA", at positions 355 to 776 of the family's 1533-position model. The record is from RNAcentral.